CAGCAGGCGCGAAAACUUUACAAUGCGGGCAACCGUGAUAAGGGAACCUCGAGUGCCNGUAUANGCAGGCUGUCCAGGUGUUUAAAAAACACNUGAAGAAAGGGCCGGGCAAGACCGGUGCCAGCCGCCGCGGUAAUACCGGCGGCUCGAGUGGUGGCCACUUUUAUUGGGCUUAAAGCGUUCGUAGCUGGGUUGUUAAGUCUCUUGGGAAAUCUGACGGCUCAACCGUCAGGCGUUCAAGGGAUACUGGCAAUCUUGGAACCGGGAGAGGUGAGGGGUACUUCGGGGGUAGGAGUGAAAUCCUGUAAUCCUCGAGGGACCACCUGUGGCGAAGGCGCCUCACCAGAACGG
RNAcentral lists this ribosomal RNA (351 nucleotides) under uncultured Methanoculleus sp. RNAcentral's name for it is "bacterial SSU rRNA". It matches the Rfam family "Archaeal small subunit ribosomal RNA", at positions 333 to 688 of the family's 1478-position model. Lineage: Archaea; Methanobacteriati; Methanobacteriota; Methanomicrobia; Methanomicrobiales; Methanomicrobiaceae. The record is from RNAcentral.